RNAcentral lists this long non-coding RNA (1561 nucleotides) under Lactuca sativa (garden lettuce). Its description in RNAcentral is "long non-coding RNA (LSAT_LNC000557)". Lineage: Eukaryota; Viridiplantae; Streptophyta; Magnoliopsida; Asterales; Asteraceae. The record is from RNAcentral.
AACACCCUCGUUGACUCUCCUCUCUGGUCGUCUCCCUUCCUCGUUGACUUGCUGUUUCCCUGCCGACUUAACGCGGUUCGCUCUGUACUUUUCACUCUUCAUCGAUCUUUCUCAGACUCGUCACUGUUGGUUCAUCCUUUAUCGCUGCUGUUUCAGUUCUCCUUGUCAUCCUGUAUGCUUCUUAAUUACAAGUUGUUAGACAAUUUCAUCUUAUGAAUCAUAAAUCACAUCAUAAUCGUUUGGUUAUUUCACUAAAAGGUGAUUGAAUAUUGUCUAUUUCCAUUAUUUUUGUUUUAUUUUAUAUAUCAAUUAGGAUAGUCCACACUCCUUCUAGCUAAAGUCAAGUACGAUGAACAAAAUUUCCUGCACGUUGAGAAUUCUUUGAUCCUUUAAAAUUUCUUCCUCAAUUCCUCUAUAUUUUCUAAUUCACAACACGAUUUUUAGAUUUGAUUCUUUUUGAAUGAUGUUUAUGAACAAGCUUCAAUAUUUGACUGUCAUAAUGAGUGUUUUGCUUGUGUAUAGACUAAAGAGUGCAUUUAGCUUUGAAGUUUCUUCUAUUAUUGAGUUUGAAAUUGAACCCUUAGAAAGGGCAAAGUGGAAGGCGUGUUUUGUUGGCUUCAGAAACAUAUCAUUUGGAACAACCCCAUCAAUAUUGUUAGUUGAAACACUUAAAAUAAGAUUUAUGCUGAUACUAGAUCCAGUUAUAUAUGAAUUUUAAAUUUGUGUAGAUUGUUGUUGCUAAUUUUGGAGAUCCAUAAUUAAACAACCUUGUCAAGCAAGUGCUGUUUUUUUUGUUUAAAACUUUACAUCUUUCAAUUGUAUGUUGAUAUCUAGUAAAAGCUUGAAAUUUCCUGUAUGUUUUGCAAUUUCCUUCAUGGGAGGUAAUAGUGGAUCUUGUAGUUAUUUCCAGAAUGGUAUUUUGGUGUAGAUUUGUUUGAGGAUUACUUUACUGAAAUUCAUAUGGAUUUUACUUAGACAAAUAAGGAUCUUCAUGUGGGCUAAUCAAAUUAAAACAGAGGCGUUGUAGUUUCAAUGCAUAAAUUGGUUUGUUUUUUUUUUUUCUUGAAUCUAAACUUAGCCAGAAAAACAGGUUAACCAAUUUAGUUUAAUUGGUAACAGCAUUUAAAAUAAAUUUCAUGGCAAUGUAAUGGUUAUUCUAUAUCCAUACUUUGUUUUUGUGGGAAAAAAUAUUCUAUAUAAAUACUUAGUUAGCUAUAUAUGUGUUGGCUAAAGGAUCCAAAAACCUGUCACAUAAUUAUUAUUGCCAUGAGAUUGCUGUUGUAGUGAUUUAACAGCCUCUCUUUGUAUUUCAAACACGGCAGCAACCGCUUAAUGCUUAUUCUUUUGUGUUCCUUUUCCAGUGUUUAUUUGAUGAGAUUUAAGUUGCAUAUUAUAAAUAUUAAUAAUUUGGAUUUUAUGUACAGGCUUUAUUUGAACCACAAGUUAAGUGUUUCUAGCUAAUUGAGAUACACAAAGGCUCAUCAACCCAAAACUCAUAAUGGUUAUUCUCUCUGAACUCCUCUCAGAAGGAUCUUCAUCUUCUUCAUCAACUCAUGGUUAU